Triticum dicoccoides is the source of this 1402-nucleotide long non-coding RNA. RefSeq lists it as uncharacterized. The record is from RefSeq and is a predicted model, not a curated record. NCBI's taxonomy places the organism in Eukaryota, Viridiplantae, Streptophyta, Magnoliopsida, Poales, Poaceae. The transcript is spliced from 3 exons.
CCAAAUCCCCCUCGACCCCGGCUACAUCAGGGGACGCCGCCACCCCUCUGCCGCCGGCCUCUCCGCACCGGCGACCUCCCCUCCCCUCCCCUCCUAUCACUUCCCUUCCCUUCCCCCUUAUAGAGAGGCGAGCCCAUGUCGCUCCCGCCACGGUUGGAUCCAGACCAAGCACGUGGGGUUCCAGCUCGACAUGGCGGCGGGAUUCGCGGAUCCACGGCCACGGUGGUGCGAGCGCCUAGCCGCAGUCGUGAGAAGAGAGGAGGCAGGGCGGCCAUGGCGUUCCCGCCAUAGCCGGAUAACUGGCUCCACCACGAGCUCCUCGCAGAGUGACGAUGGCGGCUCCGAACCCUAGCGGACGCUCCUGCUCAUCUUCCUCCACACCUCCGGCGCCAUAUUCAUCGCCUACAUGGACGCAGCUUCCUCUCUGGCGACAGGAAUGGUUUAUAAUCUAGGUAGCGCAAAUUGUUUUUGGUUGGCGAUGACUGCAAUCAUUUUCGGGAUAAAAAGCAGUUAAGAGUUAACUUCAAAUUUAUUUUGACACUCCCGUCCAUAUUACUGCCGUUUAUUUAUGAAAAAAUAUUUGGUAGAUGGAUAACUAAACCGUCUUCCUUUUUUUUCAGCUUUUGGUGCCACUUUGUAAACUCUUAGCGAUAUGAGGAACCAGAGGUCAACACAAGGUAAGCACAUUCAGAAGCCAGAUUACUCUGCAUGAGAAGAUUCAGCAUAAGGCUUAUGGUGGUGAUGAAAACAUCAUCAGAAUCGUCACCACUAGGAGCAAAGCUUAGCUGCUUGCGACAUUCAACCAAUAUAGUGUCGUAACCUGCUCAUUCUGCUAUAUUUGUUAUGCCUACCUUUUCUCUCUGUUGCAUUCUACUAAUGGUUCAGUACGUUGGACAAGCUGCUAACAAACUAUUCUGAAUUUCUACUUGAAAAGAUGCAUCAGAUCGCAGAGUAUGUUGGCGAUGUCUUAGUGUGUAUUGAACAGCUUUUUUUAUUACAUCUUGAUUGUUGACAUUGGUGGUGUUUUCUUUUGGUUCAGCAGAAAUUUGUUGAAGUGAAAGAUGAAGAGGAACUUGUGGAAGAGCUGAAUACAGGACAUGGAAGAAAGAAGAAAGCAAAGCAUAUACAUUAUAAUGAUAUGUGGAGUAUGAUUUCCCUGAUGCUAUGUUAAAUGGUUUCAAGCACGUUGUGGAGGAUUUAGCCAUAGAUUUUGGUGUAACGUAAGGACGAUAUUUGUGUUCUUCGCUGAGCAUUGAAAACCUGCGAAUUUCUGGCUGCUAACUUUUUUUUGACUGUGCUAACUUAAACUAUGGUCUUUGUGGAGAACAUGUCCAGUAAUCUCAGUAUCAUUACCUGCACAGUAGAACAUCAACUAUUUUACCAUAAAAGUUAGUUCAAUUCA